GUCCACGCCUUAAACGAUGAGAACUAGACGUUGGAAGGGUUAGCCUUUCAGUGUCGCAGCUAACGCGAUAAGUUCUCCGCCUGGGGAGUACGGCCGCAAGGUUGAAACUCAAAGGAAUUGACGGGUACCCGCACAAGCGGUGGAGCAUGUGGUUUAAUUCGAUGCAACGCGAAGAACCUUACCUGGCCUUGACAUCUGUCGAAUCCUGCAGAGAUGUGGGAGUGCCUUCGGGAACGACAAGACAGGUGCUGCAUGGCUGUCGU
Molecule: ribosomal RNA, 263 nt
Filed under: uncultured bacterium
Lineage: Bacteria
Description: partial 16S ribosomal RNA
Rfam family: Bacterial small subunit ribosomal RNA
Source: RNAcentral